GAUGAACGCUGGCGGCGUGCCUAAUACAUGCAAGUCGAGCGAACGGACGAGAAGCUUGCUUUUCUGAUGUUAGCGGCGGACGGGUGAGUAACACGUGGAUAACCUACCUAUAAGACUGGGAUAACUUCGGGAAACCGGAGCUAAUACCGGAUAAUAUUUUGAACCGCAUGGUUCAAAAGUGAAAGACGGUCUUGCUGUCACUUAUAGAUGGAUCCGCGCUGCAUUAGCUAGUUGGUAAGGUAACGGCUUACCAAGGCAACGAUGCAUAGCCGACCUGAGAGGUUGUUCGGCCACACUGGAACUGGGACACGGUCCAGACUCCUACAGAGGGCAGCAGUAGGGAAUCUUGCGCAAUGGGCGAAAGCUUGACGGAGCAACGCCGCGUGAGUGAUGAAGGUCUUCGGAUCGUAAAACUCUGUUAUUAGGGAAGAACAUAUGUGUAAGUAACUGUGCACAUCAUGACGGUACCUAAUCAGAAAGCCACGGCUAACUACGUG
RNAcentral lists this ribosomal RNA (497 nucleotides) under uncultured bacterium. RNAcentral's name for it is "partial 16S ribosomal RNA". It matches the Rfam family "Bacterial small subunit ribosomal RNA", at positions 28 to 507 of the family's 1533-position model. The record is from RNAcentral.